RNAcentral lists this ribosomal RNA (548 nucleotides) under uncultured bacterium. Its description in RNAcentral is "partial 16S ribosomal RNA". It matches the Rfam family "Bacterial small subunit ribosomal RNA", at positions 355 to 920 of the family's 1533-position model. The record is from RNAcentral.
UGGGGAAUCUUGCGCAAUGGGCGAAAGCCUGACGCAGCCAUGCCGCGUGAGUGAUGAAGGCCUUAGGGUUGUAAAACUCUUUCACCGGGGACGAUAAUGACGGUACCCGGAGAAGAAGCCCCGGCUAACUUCGUGCCAGCAGCCGCGGUAAUACGAAGGGGGCUAGCGUUGCUCGGAAUUACUGGGCGUAAAGGGCGCGUAGGCGGAUCAGCAAGUUGGGGGUGAAAGCCCGGGGCUCAACCUCGGAAUUGCCUUCAAAACUGCUGAUCUAGAGUACGGGAGAGGUGUGUGGAACUCCGAGUGUAGAGGUGAAAUUCGUAGAUAUUCGGAAGAACACCAGUGGCGAAGGCGACACACUGGCCCGUUACUGACGCUGAGGCGCGAAAGCGUGGGGAGCAAACAGGAUUAGAUACCCUGGUAGUCCACGCUGUAAACGAUGAUUGCUAGUUGUCGGCAGGCAUGCCUGUCGGUGACGCAGCUAACGCAUUAAGCAAUCCGCCUGGGGAGUACGGUCGCAAGAUUAAAAACUCAAAUGAAUUGACGGGGUC